RNAcentral lists this ribosomal RNA (758 nucleotides) under uncultured bacterium. RNAcentral describes it as "bacterial SSU rRNA". It matches the Rfam family "Bacterial small subunit ribosomal RNA", at positions 8 to 796 of the family's 1533-position model. The record is from RNAcentral.
AGAGUUUGAUCAUGGCUCAGAAUCAACGCUGGCGGCGCGCUUAACACAUGCAAGUCGCACGAGAAAGCAGGAGCAAUCUUGUGAGUACAGUGGCGUACGGGUGAGUAACACGUGGAUCAUCUACCUUUUAGUGGGGAAUACCUCCUGGAAACGGGAGACAAUACCGCAUAAGCCCGCAAGGGGAAAGCAGCAAUGCGCUGAAAGAGGAGUCCGCGGCCGAUUAGCUAGUUGGCGGGGUAACGGCCCACCAAGGCGAAGAUCGGUAGCCGGCCUGAGAGGGCUCACGGCCACACUGGCACUGAAACACGGGCCAGACUCCUACGGGAGGCAGCAGUGGGGAAUCUUGCACAAUGGGGGAAACCCUGAUGCAGCGACGCCGCGUGAGCGAUGAAGCCCUUCGGGGUGUAAAGCUCUUUCGACGGGAACGAUAAUGACGGUACCCGAAGAAGAAGCUGCGGCUAACUACGUGCCAGCAGCCGCGGUAAUACGUAGGCAGCAAGCGUUGUUCGGAAUUACUGGGCGUAAAGAGUGUGUAGGCGGUGCUCUAAGUCUGUCGUGAAAUCUCCCGGCUUAACUGGGAGGGUGCGGCGGAAACUGGAGUGCUCGAGGGUGGGAGAGGAAAGCGGAAUUCCUGGUGUAGCGGUGAAAUGCGUAGAUAUCAGGAGGAACACCUGCGGUGUAGACAGCUUUCUGGACCACUUCUGACGCUGAGACACGAAAGCGUGGGUAGCAAACAGGAUUAGAUACCCUAGUAGUCC